RNAcentral lists this long non-coding RNA (616 nucleotides) under Physcomitrium patens. RNAcentral describes it as "long non-coding RNA (PPAT_LNC012583)". Lineage: Eukaryota; Viridiplantae; Streptophyta; Bryopsida; Funariales; Funariaceae. The record is from RNAcentral.
AGAUGUUGUGGCUUACAAUAAACUUUUGCAUUGAAUUGCUUCUCUCAAUAGCAAAGACUCAAGUACUUCUGGGCAUGUACUCCUACUCAUCAAUAUUACCUAGCUUUGCAUCCAAAUGUAUCAGAGGAUCUUGAUUAGUCUCAUAAUUAGGAAGCUUGGACGAUCUAUUCGGCUAACAAUUUUUUUUCCGUCUUUACUUUAGUGAUACAAAGCUUAAUUUUUUUUUUUUUUUUUUUUUUUUUUUUUGGGCUUCACUUCCUAAAGGUGCAAGGUUUUGAUGUAUACUUCUCAGAAGUAUUCAUUUAACAAAUCAGAAUGUCAACUAAGUUGAUUCUAUUGAAUGCUUUUAAUAUUCUAAUUACUAUGUAGAAGAUUUAUGAAUCUUCUAACAAAGACUCAAAGGCACAUAAAUCAAUGGUGACUUCCUUUCAAUGGUAUUGAAGCAAUAAUUCCAAAAAAUAUUAUGUCUUUAGAACUUUUAAUUGUUGCAUCUAAGUAAAAGACAAAAUAAGAAUUAGAUUACGGUGCUAUUUGCUUGUAAUGCUAUAAGUAGAAUGUUGACUCUUGCUACUUGCACUUAACACCAAUGGCCAAAUCAACCAAUGCCAUGUCUCCA